AUGGGCGUCCUGACCCAACUCCUCUGCUCUCUGCGGUCCUGCCUGCCAGCUGCUAGCAGGCACGCUGGGCUGACCCGGUGCCGGCUCCCCUCUGCGUCCCUGAGACACAGCGUGUCCGUCACCUGCAGGCCCAGUAGAGCAUCAGCGAUCACUUCAGCUGGUAUCCGCAGAAACCAGGCCGGGCUCCUGAGCUUCGCAUCUGUGAUACUAGUAACCGAAAGCCUGGAGUCCCACAGGUUCUCCGCGAGUCAGCUGGACACCGAAUUCAUCCUCAGAAUCAGCACGGAUUCAUCAAUUCAACUUCCCAAAAUGACUUUCCCUGCUCAGAUCCUGGGACCACUGAUGCUCUGGGUCACAGGUAAGGACAGAGGGAAGAUGAGAAAGGAAUAGAGGGUGGGCUCAGUGUGCUCUGGAAGACACAGUUGCUUAGGAUGUAUAUUUGUUCACAUGUUAGAUACAUACAUGUUGCUCUGUAGAACGAAGUAUGUUUAGGUCCAUGAGAUUGAGGACAAUUCCAGAAGGAACAAGAAAGGAUCUAUGUUCUGAUGAAGACUGUCACCUAGAAGGAGAAGGAUGGUGUAGGUGACUUCUAGAGGCCCCUUUGUAUGUUGUGCAUCUUGGGUUCUUUUUGAAAUUGGAUAUUUUAGGGUAGUAAUCAACUUUUUAAAAUGAUUUAGCCUGAAAUAAAUAACAAAAGAAAAAUUCUGAAAAUGGCUCAGAAAGUUUGUAUAUGACCUUGCAUUUCUCUCUCUCCUUACUUUAGGAUCCAAUGGGGAUAUCGUGAUGACCCAGACCCCAUUGUCCUUGCCUGUCACCCCUGGAGAGCCAGCCUCAUCACUGUGCAGGAGGCCAGUCAGAGCCUCCUGCACAGUGAUGGAUAUAUUUAUUUGAAUUGGUACUUUCAGAAAUCAGACCAGUCUCCAUACUCUUGAUCCUAUAUGCUUUACAACCAGACUUCUGGAGUCCCAGGCUGGUUCAUUGGCAGUGGAUCAGGGACAGAUUUCACCCUGAGGAUCAGCAGGGUGGAGGCUGAAGAUGCUGGAGUUUAUUAUUGCCAACAAACUCUACAAAAUCCUCCCACAGUGGUACAGCCUUGGACACAAAUCUCCUCCCUCUGGGUGGUGCAGCUGUGCAUGGAUGUUGAUAGUUUGAGGAAGAAACAGUUUUAGACUAUUCACAUACCCUGUUCAGUUAGUUUAUAGGUCAGCUGGGAUCAGCAGAGAGUUUAACUUUAUAGACAAAAAGCUUUCAUCUUCAGCACACUAUUUCUCCACUUAUCCUUAUCAAUCAGUGGUAUAUUUCUAAAAAAAAUUUCUAUUUAUUCCAAAAAAUAGACUCCUAUGAGGCAGAUAGAUAAUAAGGCCUCAAGGAGCCAGAGAAGUCAGGCAUGUCACUGUUUCUUCCAGUGUUUGGAAAGAGCAUGCACACUCAGAGGGUAAACACAUUCAGAGAGUCUUCCCUGAGCUUCCUGUUACCAGAAUGCAUUUCCACAGAUUUUACCUUUUGUGGGUGGCAGUAAUUUGUGCAAGAGGACCAGCCUCAAUCACAUGUGACUCAGGGCUCAGCAAACCACUCCAUCCCACCUGUACCUGGGAAACUCUCCCGAUGGGCAGGUUGAUCUACCCUUUAAUCAGAGAACCUUCCUUUGGAUCCAGGAGGUGACCAGGCCUCCCUGUCUCUAAUCUCAUCCAAAGCAGUGUGGGCCUGGCUACUUGGGUUGACAAAGUCUAGAGAACACAGUGCACAGUCUCCAUGCCCCCAAAGUGACAGAAUGAUAACAGACUCAGACCCCAAAGAAACAGUCUUUCAAAGUCACAUCACCCCAUACUGGCUUCCAGCUUUAUGGACCUCAAAACAACAGCAUCUGACAACAGACACAAAGUAUAAUGAGACCCACCUGCUUAAAUCGUUCCUUACUUAGUAAGAUGAUAAAAAUUUGAGACUCCCAGAGCCUGAUACUCAGCUGGAACUCAUGUUCCUAUUCUUUCAACCUGUACAAAGUCUUAUUAUUUCUAGGUGCUGUGAAGUGACUGGUGUUGGCUACUGGUUGGUUUUGUUUUAAAGCCACAGUAUACUUUAUAUGUCUGUGAGAGACAGAGAUUCUUUUUUAGAAUUAGGAAUAUUGUACUCUCUGUCCACAAAUAGUAUAGGAACAUUUCAUAGCCUUUUUGUGACAAAGAAAGAAUUUCAAAAUAUUUCACAUUUUAUGUCUAUUUUGGGAUAACAGAUUAUGACAUGAAACAGCCAAUAAGAAUUAGAGACCUUUAUGACCUUUUCUUGACUACCUUCAUCUAAUUCUCCUACUGUCUAGUCUCUGCCUUUACCAAUCACAAACAUGAUUUUUUUUGUAGUUUUAUAUUGUUUUCUUUGUUUUUGAAUCCACUUGUAAGUGAUGUCAUACACUAUUUGUCUUUCUCUAUCUGAUUUAUUUCACUCAACAUAAUGCCCUCAGGGUCCAUUAAUAUUGUCACAAAUGGUAGAGUUCCUUUCUUUGUUAUGGCUGAAUAAUAUUCCAUUACCUAUAUGAUGUGGGAAACCCAGAGGGCUGUAUUAACCCUUCUUACUUUUUACUAAGUUACUUCCACAGCCCAAAUCUUGCUUAGUAUUCCUUACUAAUUGAAACUCUCAGAUGUAAUUUUUCUUCGACCUGUCACUUCCUCAUAGAUUCCUUUCCUUGGUUUAAAAAGUAUAAAAACUGUCUGCCUUGGUCAUUUCUUAGGGUCUCAGUUUCAUUACUGGGCCUCUGCACACACAGAACAAAACGUUUCCUCCUGCUUUUUCUUCUUUUUGUUUGUACUUUUUUUUUCUCCUGUAACUCUGUGUCAUGCAAAUUUCUUAGUCCAGAUAGAAGAACCUUGGAAAGAGGAAAGUUUUCUCCUCCCCACUGUU
Molecule: long non-coding RNA, 2889 nt
Filed under: Canis lupus familiaris (dog)
Lineage: Eukaryota; Metazoa; Chordata; Mammalia; Carnivora; Canidae
Description: lncRNA (ENSCAFG00030005810.1)
Source: RNAcentral